Non-coding RNA from Leminorella grimontii, 135 nucleotides. NCBI's taxonomy places the organism in Bacteria, Pseudomonadati, Pseudomonadota, Gammaproteobacteria, Enterobacterales, Budviciaceae. The record is from Rfam.
CAAGAAAUGAAACUCUGAGCUGCUCCGACCUAAGUCGACUCGAUAUGGUGCUGCAGCCGUGGCUUUAAGUCACCAGGGUGUAAGGUAGAAAUGCCUGCGCCUCCCGAAUUGGAAAGGUGUUUUAUGCUAUCUCAA